GCGGGUCGCGCGGGAGAGUGUUCGAUGACAGCAUCGGACCGCCGAAGGCGUAACCCCCAGGAAUCGCUCAGGCACAAGGGACCGCGCGAACGCA
RNAcentral lists this non-coding RNA (94 nucleotides) under Azoarcus sp. Its description in RNAcentral is "Glycine sequence". It matches the Rfam family "Glycine riboswitch aptamer". From Rfam's summary of the family: This family represents the bacterial glycine riboswitch. Glycine riboswitches usually consist of two metabolite-binding aptamers domains with similar structures in tandem. The record is from RNAcentral. Lineage: Bacteria; Pseudomonadati; Pseudomonadota; Betaproteobacteria; Rhodocyclales; Zoogloeaceae.